RNAcentral lists this long non-coding RNA (843 nucleotides) under Trifolium pratense (red clover). RNAcentral's name for it is "long non-coding RNA (TPRA_LNC001149)". Lineage: Eukaryota; Viridiplantae; Streptophyta; Magnoliopsida; Fabales; Fabaceae. The record is from RNAcentral.
GUGUAUGCACACAAUAGUUAAUGUAGACCAUCUUUUGUGUAUAUAUAACUCUGAUAAUCAAUGAAAUGAAUUCAUUCUCCCAGUUUUCUCUUUACCAUGAUACUAACUUAUCAAAAAAUUACCUGGGUUCCAUGACCACUCGUAAACUCUAUUUAUCAGUAGUAAUCAAACUCGGUACUCUAAAAUUUACAACACUCGUAUACAAUGCAAUAACCACUUGCGGUAGACCUUGUGGUACAUCGAUGAUCGAUCCUAAUAAAAGUACGCUGUAUACUAUUAUUAUAUACUAUAUACUAUUACUAAUAAAAGCUAAAGCAGAUUAAUAUUCAUUCCAAAAACUAACAUAAGCUUCACAAAAGUAGUCAACAUGAUAAAAUUAAAUACACAGGUAAAUUGUUUAGCAUUUGUCACAUAAAUAAAUGUGAUCAUAAGUACAUGCAUUACAUACGAAAUUAAUGAAGCACCAUCCCUUACACAUCAUAAGGUUGCUUACCAGUGAACUUAACCUCAAUUGGGCUAACAUUCUUCCCAAUAGACCUGAAAUUCUGACCGACCCCUUGACGACCGGGGUUAACCUUCUCUGGAUAAACACCAUCCUUAGGAUGCAAAUAUUGAACCUCCCCAUUAGGGAAAACCCUGUAAAACUGAUACUUAAUCUUGUACUUUGAUCUUAAUCUAGUUCCUAAAGCCAAACACUGUUCUUUCCUAGCCAAUUUAAGAAGAUUAGGACCUUCCCUCAUUAUAGCAGCACCACCAGUUGGCAUUUCAAAGAUUUGUUCUUUAGGUGAUUCCCAUGUGAUUACAUAGAAUUCUUCAACUUGGGCCUUACGCAAUAAUCCACCA